This 146-nucleotide transfer-messenger RNA is filed under the name Oscillospiraceae bacterium. RNAcentral's name for it is "partial transfer-messenger RNA". It matches the Rfam family "transfer-messenger RNA", at positions 1 to 157 of the family's 374-position model. From Rfam's summary of the family: Bacterial tmRNA, also known as 10Sa RNA or SsrA, is named for its dual tRNA and mRNA-like properties. The record is from RNAcentral. Lineage: Bacteria; Bacillati; Bacillota; Clostridia; Eubacteriales; Oscillospiraceae.
GGGGGCGUACUGGUUUCGACGGGGGCGUGGAAGUGGGAAUAGCGGGCGGAUGCGCCUAACAUCCUUAAAAUGGGCAAAAAACAAUUAAACGCCAACAAUAACGUUGAGCUCGUCGCGGCUUAAGCCGUGACCGUUCCACCCGAGAG